Gopherus evgoodei (Goodes thornscrub tortoise) is the source of this 98-nucleotide long non-coding RNA. RefSeq lists it as uncharacterized. NCBI's taxonomy places the organism in Eukaryota, Metazoa, Chordata, Testudines, Testudinidae. The record is from RefSeq and is a predicted model, not a curated record. The transcript has 3 exons.
AUGUAAACAAGCCCUCAGAUGCCCAACACCCAAUGGGGUCUAACCCCAGGUAAAUCUGUUUUACCCUGUAUAAAGAUUAAACAGGGUAAACUCAAAUU